GCCGGGCGUGGUGGUGGACCCCUGUAAUCCCAGCUACUUGGGAGGCUGAGACAGGAGAAUUGUUUGAACCCAGGAGGUGGAGGAUGCAGUGAGCUGAGAUCGUGCCACUGCACUCCAGCCUGGGUGACAGAGUGAGACCCUGUCUCAA
Non-coding RNA from Pan troglodytes (chimpanzee), 148 nucleotides. It matches the Rfam family "Metazoan signal recognition particle RNA". From Rfam's summary of the family: The signal recognition particle (SRP) is a universally conserved ribonucleoprotein. It is involved in the co-translational targeting of proteins to membranes. NCBI's taxonomy places the organism in Eukaryota, Metazoa, Chordata, Mammalia, Primates, Hominidae. The record is from Rfam.